This is an RNA transcript of Humulus lupulus (European hop), 3068 nucleotides long. It is a transcript of the gene named pentatricopeptide repeat-containing protein At4g04790, mitochondrial-like, with no coding region annotated. The transcript has 17 exons. The record is from RefSeq and is a predicted model, not a curated record. NCBI's taxonomy places the organism in Eukaryota, Viridiplantae, Streptophyta, Magnoliopsida, Rosales, Cannabaceae.
AGGGGGAGAAUGUGACUGACUGACUGACUGACUGUGCUGUGUUGGGGUUAAGGUGUAUUGUAAUGAAAGGAAUGGACGUUGCCAAGAGAAUGAUAUGAAUCAUAACUGAGAGUAGUAAUAGAAAUAGCAAUCAAGGUGCUCAAAUGCCAGCCUCUAAGACCAAGAACCUCAGCUCUCUAUUCCGGACUGCCGCUAGAACCAAAGCUAAAGCUAAACCACCUAAACAACCUACUUCUACUACUACCUCCCUCCUCGUCGACGACCCAGCUCUCAAACACUUCGUCUUCUCAGCCCACUCCCCUACUCCCGACUCCGUCAUUUCCACAGUCGCCUCCGAGCAGAGCGUUAAGCUACUUUCCGAGUUUAAUUCCCCUUCAGAAGAAGACCCUUCUCCUCAAGAAUCUCAACCUGUUUUUCUUCUUUCAACUCCGAAAGUGGUACCCGGCUCGGAUAAUGGCGAACCAACAAUUUUGGAUACUACUACGAUUCUGGGUCUAACAACGAGGAAUGUGCUCUCAAACAAGAUAUCUUCUAUACUAAAUGGUUGCACAACUGAUGCUUUGGAAAGUUCACCUGAUCAAGAAGAAAUUGUUGGUGAAAUGUCCCUGGAGAAAGAAUUAGAAAUACCAUGGUUUCCGUCUAUUUCAAAUGGCAGCAUAUCAGUGCAUCGUAAAGAAGUAGUACGUGAAAGGAAACAAAAGUGGGUUUUUAAAAGCACCCAGGUUGGCCGUCUUAAUACAUUAGUAAAAAUGUGUGCUGAGAAAGUAGGAUCAGACAUUGCUGUUGAGGUUUUUGGUAAGUUGGGACGAGAAACUGGUGUAAAAGAAUAUGGUGCAUUGAUAAAGGUCUGCAUAGAGAAGGCUAGGAGCACCACUGACGAAGAGGUUGCUCUAGAACAGAUCCACAGGGCUUUUCGUUUUUUUAAAUCAAUGAAGGAAAACGGUUUUCCACUAGAAGAGGAAACUUAUGGCCCCUUUCUUGCCUAUUUGAUUGACAUGGCUAUGGUUGAAGAAUUUAAUUUCUUUUGUGAAGUUAUCACAGACGCAAAUUCUAGUUUGUCUUCUAAGUUAGGUUAUUAUGAGAUGUUGCUAUGGAUCAAAGUUAAUAAUGAAGAAAAAAUUCAAGAGAUGUGUCAUUACAUUGUGAGCAAGGAAGGUGAAGCUAAGGCUAAUUUACAAGAAAAUUACUUGUUAGCAUUAUAUGAAGGAGGGCGGGAUGCGGAGCUUUUGCAGCUAUUAAAAAUUAUAGACAUUACAAAAUUCUCUUCAGUGGACUGUGUAGACAUUAUCUUUAAAUCAUUAGGAAAGCUACAACUGGAGGUGCUUGCGGAGAAGUUCUUUCUUGUAUUUAAAACUCAUGAUUUUGGAGCAGAAAAUUUUACACAUUUGCUCUAUAGUUAUGCCAUUGGCAAUCCAAAUUUAGCGGUUGAAGAUGUCAUCUUAACGUUCAAAAACUUGCACUCUAAGUUAGAAGUGACACCUUCCAGUGCAUCUUAUGAAAAGCUUGUCAAAUACUGUUGUGAUAUACGCAAGGUGCAUGCUGCUCUUGGUUUAGUUGAUGAAAUGUGUGAUGGAGGUUUGACUGUCUCCGCAGAGGCAAUAAACAACCUUUUGCUUGCUUGUGCACUAAGUCACAAUUUCAAUCUGGUUAACCGAGUGUAUUCUCUGAUUUGUCGUCACAACUUACAACCAAAUGCUGAAACUUUCAGGAUGAUGAUAAAUUUGUGCGUGAGAAUGAAAGAUAUUGCUGGUGCAUACAACCUGCUUGGUGAUUUGGAGAAAAUGAAAAUGGUGCCCACUGCCAACAUGUAUAAUAUUAUAAUGGCAGGAUAUUUCCGCGAGAAAAACUUUAAUGGGGCGUUGAUGGUUCUCAAGCAAAUGGAAGAAUCAAAAAUCAAACCAGAUUCCAAAACUUUGAGCUAUUUAAUAAGCAAUUGUGUUUCUGAAGAAGAUAUUAACAAGUACUGUGAACAACUGAAGCAUUCUGGAAUCCAAGUUACGAGAGAUAUUUACAUGGCGCUCAUAAAUGCAUAUGCAACUUGUGGACAAUUUGAAAAGGCAAAACAGAUAGCCUCAGAAAAAUGGGUUUCAACAAAUCACUUGACAGAAGUUAAGAGCGUGCUUGUCCAAGCCCUUGCAUCACAUGGGCAAUUCUCCGAUGCCCUCAAUAUGUACGAAGAGAUGAAACAAGCUGGAUGCAAUUUAGAUUCCAAAGCUGUUAUAAGUCUUAUUGAGCAUUAUGAAUCUGAUGGAGGGUCAAGUACAUUAAUUCAGUUACUAGAGGAAUUACAUGAUCCUGAUUAUUGGUUUGAUGGUUGCUGCCGAGUCAUUUUAUAUUGUGUUCGAUACAAGAAUUUAAGUACUGCUGUUGAUUUGCUUAAGCAACUUAAGCAUAAAGUCUGUUAUGACGAUGAUAUGCCUCUAGAAGCUUUUCUUGACGAGGUUGUGGGAUCGACGAAGGUUAUUGUCAGUGUUGAAAUGCAUGAUAGACUCUAUAUUCUCAAGGAUUCUCCUAAAAGUAAACAAAUUCACAAAUCAAGUUGUGGUGUUUUGCCUAAUUGGAGAUUUGGAGUCUACACACUUACAGAUGGGCAUGGAUUUGCUCCGCGCUGUCAAAGAAGAUCUUGGGCAUGUCCCUCCACGAAAAUGUCUCGAUUUUCUUCUCCAAGCUUGUGCUAAUGCCAAAGAUUUGGAUAAUGCCCGAUUGAUUUGGAGAGAAUACGAUGCUGCUGGUCUUCCUCGUAACAUUUUAACUUUUGUUAGGAUGUAUCAAGUUUUGUUGAUUGCCAGGGACCAUAAGGCUGCAAAGAUCUUGCUUACUCAAAUUCCCAAGGACGAUCCCCAUGUUCGACAAAUUAUCAAAGCAUGUCAAACAACUUUCUCAAAAUCGUCAUUAAAAACAUCUAGGAAAUAGAGGGAACAAUAGCAAACUUUUUUUGUUGGUAUUUUUUUUGUCCUAACUCAUCAAUCCUUCGAUUUAACUUUCAGUGGUGUUGUAGUACGUUUAAAUGUAGUAAAUGUGAUCAGUAGCUUGUAUUGUUCAAAUAAUAACUAGGUAAAUCACCUUAA